Molecule: ribosomal RNA, 381 nt
Filed under: uncultured eukaryote
Lineage: Eukaryota
Description: SSU rRNA
Rfam family: Eukaryotic small subunit ribosomal RNA
Source: RNAcentral
AGCUCCAAUAGCGUAUAUUUAAGUUGUUGCAGUUAAAAAGCUCGUAGUUGGAUUUCAGGUGGGAAUGAAUGGUCCGCCGUUUCGGUGCGCACUAUGACUUCCUACUUUUCUGUCGGGGACGCGCUUCUGGCCUUAACUGGCGCGGGACGCGGAGUCGGCGAUGUUACUUUGAAAAAUUAGAGUGUUCAAAGCAGGCCUACGCAUUGAAUACAUUAGCAUGGAAUAACGCGAUAGGACUCACUUCCUAUUGUGUUGGUCUUCGGGAAGGGAGUAAUGAUUAAGAGGGACAGUUGGGGGCAUUCGUAUUUCAUUGUCAGAGGUGAAAUUCUUGGAUUUAUGGAAGACGAACUUCUGCGAAAGCAUUUGCCAAGGAUGUUUUCA